GCCUUAGGUGGCCUUCCGCUCUGGCGGCUGUCGCGACGGGGGUUCAGGGAAUAUUUACUGGGCCUCUCCGCUCCCUCUGCUCUUGGAGGUGCCAUGAGGUCAGUUAGCUACGUGCAGCGCGUGGCGCUGGAGUUCAGCGGGAGCCUCUUCCCGCACGCAAUCUGCCUCGGAGACGUUGAUAACGAUACGUUAAAUGAACUGGUGGUGGGAGACACCAGCGGGAAGGUGUCUGUGUAUAAAAAUGAUGACAGUCGGCCAUGGCUCACCUGUUCCUGCCAGGGAAUGCUGACUUGCGUUGGGGUUGGAGACGUGUGUAAUAAAGGAAAGAACCUGUUGGUGGCAGUGAGUGCUGAAGGCUGGUUUCAUUUGUUUGACCUGACACCUGCCAAGGUGUUGGAUGCUUCUGGGCACCACGAGACACUAAUCGGAGAGGAGCAGCGUCCAGUCUUCAAGCAGCACAUCCCUGCCAACACCAAGGUCAUGCUGAUCAGCGACAUCGGUGGGCAUGCCUACCUUUGCAGGCAGCCAGGAGAGUAGGAGUCAGUGGAUACUAGAGCAUAUCCCAAGGGAUUGGGAUGGAGAUGGGUGUCGUGAGCUGGUGGUGGGCUACACAGACCGUGUGGUGCGAGCUUUCCGCUGGGAGGAGCUAGGUGAGGGUCCUGAACAUCUGACAGGGCAGCUGGUGUCCCUCAAGAAAUGGAUGCUGGAGGGUCAGGUGGACAGCCUCUCAGUGACUCUGGGGCCACUGGGUCUUCCUGAACUGAUGGUGUCUCAGCCAGGUUGUGCGUAUGCAAUUCUACUGUGUACCUGGAAAAAGGACACUGGGUCCCCUCCUGCCUCUGAAGGGCCCACGGAUGGUAGUAGGGAGACCCCAGCUGCCCGAGACGUGGUGCUGCACCAGACAUCUGGCCGUAUCCACAACAAGAAUGUCUCCACUCACCUAAUUGGCAACAUCAAACAAGGCCACGGCACUGAGAGUAGUGGCUCUGGCCUCUUUGCCCUGUGCACCCUGGAUGGGACACUGAAGCUCAUGGAAGAAAUGGAAGAAGCAGACAAGCUGCUGUGGUCAGUGCAGGUGGAUCACCAGCUCUUUGCCCUGGAGAAACUGGAUGUCACCGGCAACGGGCAUGAGGAGGUAGUUGCAUGCGCCUGGGAUGGACAGACAUAUAUCAUUGAUCACAACCGCACCGUCGUCCGCUUCCAAGUGGAUGAAAAUAUCCGUGCCUUCUGUGCAGGCCUGUACGCCUGCAAAGAGGGCCGCAACAGCCCCUGCCUCGUAUAUGUCACUUUCAACCAGAAGAUCUAUGUGUACUGGGAGGUGCAGCUGGAGCGGAUGGAGUCUACCAAUCUGGUGAAACUGCUGGAGACCAAGCCGGAGUACCACAGCCUGCUGCAGGAGCUGGGCGUGGAUCCUGACGACCUCCCUGUGACUCGUGCCCUGCUUCACCAAACGCUCUACCAUCCAGACCAGCCACCACAGUGUGCUCCCUCAAGCCUCCAGGAUCCCACCUAGCUGUACUUGCCUCAUAGCUGGUGAAGGAUUCUUCUGAACCCCCACCCUACCCCCUAAAGAAUGCGGACCCAGAAUGAUUGGAGAGCAAGAAGAGCAAUCCACAUAGAAGAAGCACAGAGCAAAGACGGUGGCCGAGGACCAGUGGGAAUUUAUUGCGAAUGUUCAAUAGUGACUGAGUGGUUAAGUGGUUCCAGAGAUUACAGGGCCAAUGCCUUAGAACACAUGAGUUUUUUCCAGAAUUACGUUAUCCAUGCACACACACCAUUUGUCUGUGUAGAGCACACUGAGGAGUACUUACUUAAUUUAAGUAUUGUAUUUUGACCAAGGAAGGGGGGCAGAGUAAUGGUGGUGACAGAUGGAGUUGCACCGAGGAGACAUGGCUUGGGGCAGGGAGGAAGGAGGUAGAGGAUCCUGGUUAGGUCCAGGCUAGGGAGAGAGGUGCCCUUUCUCCCUCCCUCCCUCUCCCAUCAGGGCAGAGCAGAAAGGAGAGCAGGUGAAGUGAGUGCAGGCAGGGUUGUUAAUGAAAGUGUGUCCCUGGGAGGCCUCUCACCUUGCAGUUGACCAGAAGAGCUGGAAUCUCUGUCCUGCUGGUCUUCCUCCUGCUCUCCUGGCCAUGAAUCAGGUCCUGCAUCCGGGGAGGCUCCCCCUGAAGCCAAUUCGGGUUUCCCUCCACCAGGCGUCUUUGGAUCACACUGCGCGGCUGCUGGCUCCAUCACAAAACAAUGAAGAUGGGAUCUUGCUAUGCUGCCCAGACUGGACUCUAAUUCCUUGGCUCAAGGCAUUCUCUAGCCUCAGCCUCCUGAGCAGCUGGGACCAAAAGCAUAUGCCACAGUACCUGGCCUCCAUCCUUCCUUUCUGUUACUGCCUGUGUUCCAGACUCCCCACAGCUCUCUCGGAUCCUUGGAACACCUUCUUAAGUUCAUAACCUGUCUCCAGACCUGUUACCUUUCAAAUACAUCUGCUUGGAGCUUCAGCCUGGAAGCUAAAAACCUUGCUACUCCAAAAUGUGGUCCUCAGAUCAGCAACUUUAACAUCAUUUCGAAGCCUCUUAAAAAUGCACUCUCAUACCUACCGAAUCAGAUGUUUCAUUGUGACAAGAUCCCCAGGUGAUUCAUGUGCAGGUUAAAGUUUGAGAAGCACCAAAGUAAAACAUGAAACUAA
RNA transcript from Homo sapiens (human), 2674 nucleotides. It is a transcript of the gene named integrin alpha FG-GAP repeat containing 2, with no coding region annotated. NCBI's taxonomy places the organism in Eukaryota, Metazoa, Chordata, Mammalia, Primates, Hominidae. The transcript has 14 exons. The record is from RefSeq and is marked validated.